NNAAGAUUAGCAUGGCCCCUGCCCAAAGAUGGCAUGCAAAUUCGUGAAACGUUCCAUAUUUUU
This 63-nucleotide small nuclear RNA is filed under the name Propithecus coquereli (Coquerel's sifaka). The record is from RNAcentral. Lineage: Eukaryota; Metazoa; Chordata; Mammalia; Primates; Indriidae.